AAAACUCUUCAGAGAUCUUCUUCUCUAAACCGUACAAAAAACAGCAAAAAGGAAAUAUCUGCAGCUCAACAAGAGGAAUUUUUAAAAAUGAUGAAGCAUGCUCAGAAGGGACGAAUGGAGGAGCAGCGUUGUUCUCUACCCGCCAGCACACCUGCCACACCCACACACAAUGGCAGUGCUUUAAAUAACAUGGGCAGAGGUGCAGAGACAGAUACAUUUGUUAGAAGACCUGCAAGGCGGUUG
This is a long non-coding RNA of Periophthalmus magnuspinnatus, 243 nucleotides long. RefSeq lists it as uncharacterized. The record is from RefSeq and is a predicted model, not a curated record. The transcript has 3 exons. NCBI's taxonomy places the organism in Eukaryota, Metazoa, Chordata, Actinopteri, Gobiiformes, Gobiidae.